GUGCUCGCUUCGGCAGCAUGUGUACUAAAAUUGGAAUGAUACGAGAAAACAGCAUGGCCCUUGUGCAAGGAUGUCACGCAAAUUCGUGACAUGUUAAAAAAAAAA
Molecule: small nuclear RNA, 105 nt
Organism: Cavia aperea (Brazilian guinea pig)
Lineage: Eukaryota; Metazoa; Chordata; Mammalia; Rodentia; Caviidae
Source: Ensembl